GGGAGGAGUGUGCAGGGGGAGAGGCCUGCGCUGAGUGGGUGCGAGCCCGCGAGUCGGCGAGGAUCCGGGUUCCAAGAUGGAUGAUCUGUUACCCACUGUGUUGGACUUAUCUAUGCAGGGAGCGUGCUGACUGAGGGAAGCCAAAAAAAGAAUCUGAAAACAUAAGGAAGCUAUAAAAUGGGGAAAUGUUUUGAAGCCAAAGUCCUGCUUCCACUAUGAAGAAGAAACCAAGACUUGGAAAAAUUGGACUAGAAAUGGUGCAUGAGAUUCAACAAUGAAGCAGGAGCAUUCGGUACUCAGCCAGCAGCCUGGGAUCAGGGACAUGGACGCCCUCUUGGUACACGCCUGAGGGUCAUGGCCAGAGCCUGCUUGCUAGCCCCAACUCCAGGGGGUCCUUCUGGACCUGGGAAUGGACCACCACGGUGACCUACAAGAGGAAGCCCUUCUAUCCAGCCCUCAUCUGCUAUCUGAGCCCAUGGUGGCCAUGGUCUGGGAAGGCCCCAAUGUGGUGGGGCCAAUGUGGUGGGGCCAAUGUGGUGACUCAGCUGAGGCUGCCCCCAGCACCAUCAUGAGGAUGUCAGCAUCCACCUCAGCAAGAGCAUCGUCCACACCAGUGACUCCAUGAAGGAGGGUCAGAGGAGAUCCAGCUAUGGUUCCAGAACAAAGAGCUAGUGGACAGGGUAGAUGGACACUUCCAGAGCAGCAUCCACCCAGCCUGAGCACUCAGGCUGCCCUCAGCCACCCCAGAAGCCACCCAGGAUCAACUACCUUUGUUGACAAGGACUUGAGCCCACACCUAUGGUCUGCCCAUCUGUCCCAGACUACCUCCCUGUCCAUUUUUUUAAUGCCUUUAGUAUCCUAAGCCAGCAUGAAAUUGGACAAAAUCCUUUCUGUACCCACGUGCUAAACAAUCUUUGAGGUAUCUACAAAAGUGUGUAGUAUGACCUCCUCUCCCCCGAAGGGAGGAGCCCAGACAUUAAAUUCACUGUAUUGUGCAGGGGGGUGGAUCUCUCAUUAAAGUUUCUGCCAUCUCUGAGGUAGGGAAAAGGACUUUAUGCAAACUUAUAAGAGUUUGAGAGUUUAAAUAAAGCUUACCCUCUUUCUCUCUCUCCCCCCCUCUCUCUCUCACACAAACAACAUUGUAGCCACAAUUCUUUUUCAUUACUGUACAAUAUUUUACUGUAUACAAUGGAAAACACAUUUAUUUUUUUUAAGAUUUCAUUUUUAAGUAAUCUCUACACCCAACAUGGACUUGAACUCACAACCCUGAGAUCAAGAGUUACACAUUCCACAUCUGAGCCAGCCAAGCACCCCAUCUACAGUGGAAAACAAAUUUGUGAUAUGUAAUCAAUCUAAGUUUAUUCAUCAUAUAUUGUAAACAUAUACAUAUACAAUGAAUAUGAACUUUUAGGUUGUUGCUAGCCAAGAUAAGGAGGAGUACUAUAAAUAUUCUUGUACAUGUUUUUUGUUAAUAUAUGAAUGCCUCUCUACUAGGUAUACACCUAAGGGUAACAUUUCUGUGACAUCAGGGUAUACAUCUGUUCAACUUUAAUAGACAGUACCAAAUUUCUCCAAAUUUGUUGAAACAAUAUAUUUGAGAAUGCACAAAAAGAUCCAUCUGCAUCACUUGGUAUUGUCAAUUUCCUCCCUUUUAUGGUUUGAAUUUGCAUUUCCCUCAUAACUCAUCUUUUCACAUGCUUAUUGAUGAUUUAGAUGUCUUCUUUAGUAAGAUGCUUGUUUAAGACUUACCCAUUUUAAAAAAUGGCAUGUCUUUUCUUGUUGAUUUGUAAGAAUUCUUUACAUAUUGUAGAUAUAAGACCAUUGUCAAACACAGGUUUUGUAAAUAUCUUCUGCCUAUCUGUGGCUUGUUUUUCAUUCUCAUAAUGGUACAUUUGGAUGGACAGAAGCUUUUAACUUAUAUGAGUAUUACUUUUGUGUGUGUGCUGUUUAAGAAAUCUUGACCUCUCCCAAGGUCAUAAAGAUAUCCUCCUAUGUUACCUUCUAAAAGCAUUUUCAUUUUAUUAUUCCCAUUUAGAGUUACUGGGCCUAUUUCUUUGUCUAUCGUAUGUAAAAUCCAAUUAAUUUAAAAAUUAUUUCCCAGCUUCAUAAUCCUACAGAACAUAUGUUCAUAAUUGCUAAUAUCUUCAUUAGAUAGUUCCUUUCAAUCCAAUAAAGAAUCACUAAGUAUAUUCCCAUGUGCCAGGGCAUUGUGCUUAAUCUAAGAAUUUAAAAUUUGAACUCAGGACUCAGGUGGUAAUUUUCUCAGAGCUCCUAGUCUAGUGUGUGAUCUGUCCAGAUCCACCUAUGCCUCCUGCCUCCACCACCAUGUCUCCAUAGAUUUCCCUUUAGAGGCAAAGUCCACUCAGAUUUGCAUCUAAGGCUGGGGCUUGAUGCUUGUCCUCCAGAGUCUGGGCAGGAAGAUGUAGCGCAUACUCGCAAGAGUUAGUCCUUUGCCAGCUGGAGGUUCAAAGAGAGAGCCUGAAACCUGGAUCAUUUGUGAGUUGCAGAUCCCUGUGCCAAGUAAGAGCCUACAUUCCAGCCAAGUCAGUGGUGGCAAAGAUCCAUUGUCCAGUCACUUGGAUUGGCUCAAAAAUGCUUGGAGCAGCUAAAAUAUCAGUAACAGGAGAAAUGAUAAAUAUGAAUGAUUUGUGGUAGCUCAUCGCAUCCUAACUAUUCUGCUUUGCUGGCCUCACUAGUUCUUCCCAUCAAUCAUCAAUCACAUAACUAACACCCAGCUACCAAUUCUUAGACUGGGGAAGGUGGUCAGUAAAGGAAUAGCAGCCUCUACCUCAAUUCCAGGGUCUUUUUUCCUUUGGAGACUUAUGAAGCUGGUCCAGAACAUAAACCUUUAACAUAAACAAGCCCAGCCCAAGACCCUUGUAUCUUAGACUCCUUGUGUCUUAGGACUGUCUUUGGGGAUUAGAGCUCCUUACCUGGUUCUUCCUGGCCCCGACCACCUCAAAUUAGAAUAUCCCACCCUCCCCAGGAAGUCCCACCCUCCAAAAUUCACCUACAACAUUGAUGGCUCUCGUCCCAGACAAGCCGAUCACAACUUCCAUAAGAGAUGGAGUCUAGACCUUGUAGGGAAAGGGGCCUUACUCUUUCAUUUUUCCUGGUAUUUUUUUCUCCACUUUCUUUCACCAGCUUACUUCCCAAUCCCUCCAGCAAAAACCCUGAAAUACUCAGAUGAUGCUUCUCUACCUAGUACUUUCUUCUCAAAGGAAGUCUUCCUGGGUGGCAGAUAGCCUUUUCCUAAAUAAAGGGAAGAUUACAAGAAUAAGGGGUCAAAGGCACAGAAUUGAAAUGCAAAUGUGGGUUCUUAACUCUUGAUGUAUUUUUAAAAAGUAAGGAAACACUGAGUGAGAUUUUUCUGAGAAUACUUUAAACAUGAAGAGAAGGACUCCUGACUGGGUCAUUUGGUAAACCAUUGGACUCUUGAUCUUGGGGUCGUGAGUUCAAGCCCCCAUGUUGGGGUAGAGAUGACUUUUUAAAAAAAGUUUGGUAGUGCCCGUAGA
Long non-coding RNA from Canis lupus familiaris (dog), 3515 nucleotides. RefSeq lists it as uncharacterized. Lineage: Eukaryota; Metazoa; Chordata; Mammalia; Carnivora; Canidae. The transcript is spliced from 4 exons. The record is from RefSeq and is a predicted model, not a curated record.